Molecule: transfer RNA, 75 nt
Filed under: Saxifraga seguieri
Lineage: Eukaryota; Viridiplantae; Streptophyta; Magnoliopsida; Saxifragales; Saxifragaceae
Description: partial tRNA-Leu
Source: RNAcentral
GUACUUAAAAUCCGUCGACUUUAGAAAUCGUGAGGGUUCAAGUCCCUCUAUCCCCCUCAAAAAGGGCCCGUUUGA